GGGCGAAUGGUUUAGUGGUAUAAUAUUCCCUUAGCAUCAAAUGAACAUCGUUCAUCCAGCAUGGGAAUGGUCCAGGGUUCGAGUAAGUUCUUCUG
This 95-nucleotide transfer RNA is filed under the name Cadophora sp. MPI-SDFR-AT-0126. RNAcentral's name for it is "Leotiomycetes sp. MPI-SDFR-AT-0126 tRNA-Ala". Lineage: Eukaryota; Fungi; Ascomycota; Leotiomycetes; Helotiales; Ploettnerulaceae. The record is from RNAcentral.